This 253-nucleotide ribosomal RNA is filed under the name uncultured bacterium. RNAcentral's name for it is "partial 16S ribosomal RNA". It matches the Rfam family "Bacterial small subunit ribosomal RNA", at positions 524 to 776 of the family's 1533-position model. The record is from RNAcentral.
UACGUAGGGUGCAAGCGUUACUCGGAAUUACUGGGCGUAAAGCGUGCGCAGGCGGCUUCGCAAGACAGAUGUGAAAUCCCCGGGCUCAACCUGGGAACUGCAUUUGUGACUGCAUGGCUGGAGUGCGGCAGAGGGGGAUGGAAUUCCGCGUGUAGCAGUGAAAUGCGUAGAUAUGCGGAGGAACACCGAUGGCGAAGGCAAUCCCCUGGGCCUGCACUGACGCUCAUGCACGAAAGCGUGGGGAGCAAACAGG